AAACUAGGAUUAGAUACCCUAUUAUUUAAGAGCUUAAUGUUGUUAGUAAAUAUAAAUUAUGAAAGCAAAAAAUUAUGGCGGUAUUUUAAGCUUUUCAGAGGAAUUUGCUCUUUAAUGGAUAAAACACCUAAAUCUUACUUGAAUUUGUCAAACCAAUUUGUAUACCACUAUAAAAACAAUUAAUAAUUUUAAUUGUUAAGAUUUAUUAAAUUAAAUUAAAUUAAGUCAAGGUGCAGUAAAAAUUUAAGAAUGAAGUGAAUUACAUUACUUUUUAGUGAAAAAAUAUUAAAAUAAAUAAUUAGGAUUUGAAAGUAAAAUUAAAAUAUAAUGUUAAUUUGAAUUAAGCUCUAAAAUAUGUACACAUCGCCCG
RNAcentral lists this ribosomal RNA (370 nucleotides) under Rhipicephalus haemaphysaloides. RNAcentral describes it as "partial 12S ribosomal RNA". Lineage: Eukaryota; Metazoa; Arthropoda; Arachnida; Ixodida; Ixodidae. The record is from RNAcentral.